AAAAAAAAUAAAACCAGCCUUGUAAAAUAAUUAAAUCAGCUUUGUUAUCUCCAGAACUUAAGAACCCAUAUCUGAAUUUGAUCAAACCAGCCUUGUCGUCUUCUUCUUUGCUCCAUAUUCUCUCUCAUGGGAUUGUUGCUAGAUGAGAAACUCGAGCAAGAGUGUUAAAAGGGAAAGCAUAUUGCUUUUUAAAAAAGUGUUCUACAGAUGACAAUCUUGAAUGGUCUUGAGGUUGAAAUGGAUUGUUGGGUAUCGAUUUCCAAAAAUCGGAAAAAUCUCCAUCAACAAAGCCUCACCAGCCACCUCCAUCAAAGCCAUCAUAUUCCUAAUGAACACAUGUGAGUUAACUCGCCCCCUUUCCCAACUCAUUCACGCUGCAGAUCUGAAAGCUCCAUCUUCGCCUUUUGAAUACGUGAUUCGGAACCCCAACGCUGCUGUACCUUGUGGAUUAAAAAGUAAAGAUCACGAGGGUUGAUUUUUUCUUGUCUUCUUCUUUCAGAAUUCACUUGAAGUUGUUUUAAUGGAAAUGGUACAGGGGUUUAAUGCCUGAGAAUGUUCAAGGAAGAAGAAGAAGAAGAAGAUUACAUUAUUAUAUGUUUUUUUAUGUUGUGAUUGUCUUCAAUUUUCCUUCUUCUUUUUCCCCCCUAUUCAAUGUUAUCUCUUGUUGAAAAAAGAGGAGAAUAAAUUGUGAGUCAACCACGUUAAAAGAUGCACGUCGCGUCAUUAAAAAGGUUAUUAGAUUCCUUCAAUGACAUGAUUAAUAGAAAAAAUGUAUUAAAUAAAUUGACAGGAUUAAGGAAUUCAUUCAA
RNAcentral lists this long non-coding RNA (809 nucleotides) under Populus tremula. Its description in RNAcentral is "long non-coding RNA (PTRE_LNC001834)". The record is from RNAcentral. Lineage: Eukaryota; Viridiplantae; Streptophyta; Magnoliopsida; Malpighiales; Salicaceae.